This 253-nucleotide ribosomal RNA is filed under the name Leyella stercorea DSM 18206. Its description in RNAcentral is "Prevotella stercorea DSM 18206 partial 16S ribosomal RNA". It matches the Rfam family "Bacterial small subunit ribosomal RNA", at positions 524 to 776 of the family's 1533-position model. The record is from RNAcentral. Lineage: Bacteria; Pseudomonadati; Bacteroidota; Bacteroidia; Bacteroidales; Prevotellaceae.
UACGGAAGGUCCAGGCGUUAUCCGGAUUUAUUGGGUUUAAAGGGAGCGUAGGCCGUUUGGUAAGCGUGUUGUGAAAUGUCGGGGCUCAACCUAGGCAUUGCAGCGCGAACUGCCAGACUUGAGUGCGCAGGAAGUAGGCGGAAUUCGUCGUGUAGCGGUGAAAUGCUUAGAUAUGACGAAGAACUCCGAUUGCGAAGGCAGCCUGCUGUAGCGCAACUGACGCUGAAGCUCGAAAGCGUGGGUAUCGAACAGG